This is a long non-coding RNA of Stegastes partitus (bicolor damselfish), 237 nucleotides long. RefSeq lists it as uncharacterized. The record is from RefSeq and is a predicted model, not a curated record. NCBI's taxonomy places the organism in Eukaryota, Metazoa, Chordata, Actinopteri, Pomacentridae. The transcript has 3 exons.
CCAUAGGCCCUGUCCAGGCGGACGUGGUGCGCAGUGAUGUGGGGGCAAAUGGAAAGUGGACAUGGCCACACAUAUCUCCAGAUGUUUGCUGUGACCACCCCACCAUACCAGACGCACACCCCCUCCAGCUUCAGAUUCCCUUCGCCACCAAAAAUUGAAUGGCUCCCUCCUCCUCAGCUGCAGCCUCAGUCAGGAUGCGGCGACGAGUGCGUUCAAAGCUCUGAAACUGGAAGAUGC